This 64-nucleotide transfer RNA is filed under the name Eupelmus anpingensis. Its description in RNAcentral is "tRNA-Asp". The record is from RNAcentral. Lineage: Eukaryota; Metazoa; Arthropoda; Insecta; Hymenoptera; Eupelmidae.
GAAAAAUUAGUUAAUUUAUAACAUUAAUUUGUCAAGUUAAAGUAAUUUAAAUAAAUAUUUUUUA